CAAGGACAGUGUUUAUCUCAACAACGUCUUUGAAAGUAGACAUUCAAAGACGAUGCUUACCUCAGCAACGUCUUAGAAUGCCUACUUUCAAAGAUGGUGUUGAGGUAAGCAUCGUCUUU
Non-coding RNA from Glycine soja, 119 nucleotides. The record is from Rfam. NCBI's taxonomy places the organism in Eukaryota, Viridiplantae, Streptophyta, Magnoliopsida, Fabales, Fabaceae.